AAGCACCAGAGAGCAUCCACCUCCAAGCGUUAUUUUGAUGGUUACAAGAGUGUUCUAAAGUUCCCUAGUAUAUCCAGCUUACCCUGUCCUGAAGGAGCAAGCUUGCUAACUCUUACAUGGUUGCCACAGGGCAAGCUAGUCGCUUUGCUCACUUCUUCCCUAUUUUUCUCGACUACACCCUAGGACCGGCAGGAGGGAGCAACAGACACAGCCUACUGGAAAACCACCCACAGGCAGGGUUGUGCUUUGCCCUGGUUCCUGAUAGCAGGAAUGACUGUAACAUUCUAGAGGACUCUAGUGAAUGGAGGAUGUUUUCAAGCACUGGGGCCAGGCUUGAAAUUCAUCAGCUUUAGUUCACUCUGUCCUACCGCACUCACGUGAAGGCAUAACUUUGCCUGUCUCUUGUAUUUGUUCGUCUAUUUUCAGUGAAAGGCAGGUACCAUGCCCCUUACUGAACAGCAUGGUGGAGAGCAACAGAGACUCAAAACAAGGAUAAAGGGCUUCUCAGUUGGAUCCGUGUACUGGAGAUAGGAGACACAGAUAAUGGGUAGGAGGAACUGGGCCACAGACACAUUGGAACUCAGAGCUUCACAGCACAGCUGUGUGUGCUAUUUAUCUUUAGUAUGUUCCUCCCCUCAAGGAGGGCACAGUGUUAUAGAUACAGACCUGGAAGACAGGAGGAAGCCUGGUUGCAUGUGUGUGAGCCGCUGUUGCUGCAGAGUGAAGCACAGUUCUCCAGCCUUUGUUGAAAAAAAAGAAAAAGACAGUAUUAGACUUAGUAUUGCUUUUGAGGGUGCAAAAAAAGCCUGUUUUGCUCAUUUAUGAUCAAUAAUAUUUAUAAAAUGUGGGAAUAUUGCUAUGAGAUGGGAGUUUGAGGAGAUAUUAGACAAAGUGCUUCCCCUUCAAGAACCUAUAAUCUAGUGGCAGGGGCAGACUGUGCAAGAAAACAGGCAGCAAGUGGUGUCUACUGCAUGAGCCAAAAGUGGAAUAUAUGGUAGAGGUGCUCAGUGGAGGAGACCAGUCCAUACCCAGAAGUGCACAGCAGAUAAAGUCUUGUGAAAAAAGAAUUGAGUGUGUAACUUAAAGGGAGCUGAAGUUAAAGGCAGUAGAGAUGAGAGAAACAGGGUCUGGGAAUGUCGGGUAGAUGAGAGAUGUGAAAGAAGGAUUGCUGUAAAGGAAGAAUAGAAAAGCAAGAAUGUACGAGGGAAGAGAGGAGAGGCCACAGACAUUGACCACCUGUGAAGACAGUUUUAUUGGGGAUGAGGGGAGAGGAAGAUGCCAACUGACCGAGGUAGGCAUUUGUGGAAAUGUUUGGGAAACACACUUUUGGGGGACUUGCUAAAUUGAAAAUCAAGAACCCAUAUGGGUUUGUCUAGCUUGAGGGUAACUGAGACUGGAGUGAAAUACCUGAAGCCCAUGAUGUGACUGACUGAGCUCUUCAAAGAAACUGUAGUCUGACUUUUGUUCCUGCUCACAUCUGGAAGUGGAUGGAGGAGUUAGACAUGUCCAGAGACCAGGACUGCUGGCCUAAGUGGUCUCAGUUGGCUGACAAUGGAGAAAUUUCACACACUGGAGCACAUUCCCUUUCAAGACUGCCUCACCAAAGCUAAGAAUGAGCCUGGAGAAGCAGCCCCUGAACAUGGCAGCUGAGCGUUGUCAAGAACACCACUCAACAGGAUGGGAGCAGGUUCAUUAUCAUGAAGAAGAAAGAGGAGAAAAAGAAGGAGGAGGAGAAGGAGACAAUGACUAAGAAGAUAAAGGGCACUCGCCAACUCAGUGUCUAUUUCCUAGUUUCUGUGGGGAUGCACUCUGCCUGAGCCUUCAGGAGCCUGGAGUGAAGAGGAAGGAGCCACUCACAGCUGUUUCAGCACCCUUGCAAGUCAUGCUGAUAGUGGAGGGGACACCCCAGGGCCUUGGCGUUCCAACCACUACCAUGUUGCGGCAGGAAAUGUCAGGUCACAAAUCACAAACCCCACUUCUCAGCAGCUACUUGUCUGAGAUCUCUGGUCUGAAACCUCCUCCUUCUACUCUCUUGCCUGUGACCUGGGGACUGCACUGUCCUACUGUCUUUGCAGAUUAUCUUUGCAUCUUGUGUGUUCUUAUAAAAGCACUUAUCUCAGUGGUCUAGGCAGUGAGUAAUAAUCUCUGCUGCCUCUGAAAUUCAUACCAGGAUUAUUUUAUCUCGCAUCUUUCUGUGGAAUGUCCCUUUGUCAAAUUUCUACUGAAACAAUUUUCAAUUAAGUAAUACAUUCUUACUCGGAGACAAGAAAAACAGCAUGAUUAGUAAUGGUAUCCAUUAUGUGCUGGGCACUGUUAUAAAUAUUUUACAUAUAUCUUAGAUACUUCAACCUUGGAAUACCUCAAUGAUACAGUUAUUAUGGUCCUCUUUAGCAUCUUCCUUGUUCUGCUCCCAUUAAAACUCCACUAUAUGGGCCCCUAAAGUUCUCUGGGAGCUGCUGUGAUCUCAUAGAGCAUAUUAAUCAGUUCUACAUGCCCAUGCCCCAGAGUUUGAGAUACAAGAAGGCUAUUCAUCAUUCAUUAGUCAACCCAAAUAUUGCAUUCCUCUGUAGUCAUGCCUAUGGUGUUGGGUUGUUUGUUUGUUUUGUUGUUGUUUUUGAGACAAAACAGAGAUGUGGAUGCACACGAUCCCAGGAGGGGACAUUCCCAAGGAGACAGACCGGGCACAUUUGGAGCGAUCCACUCCUGGUAGACAAAGUUUAAGAGGUGGACCCUAACUCAUCGCAGUGUGAACUCCGGACUGACGGACUGAGGGAGGAGCCUCUCUCCCAACUUGCUGGCAGAGCGAAUACUGGACAGAGGUGGUGUUAGGUCUGGCUUCACACAUGGACUCAUCUUUACUCAUAUCUGGUAGGAGAGUAGAAGCUGCAAUCUCUUUGUGCAUGAGCAACCUUUCCUGGAUCAGUGUAGCUACCACCGCUCAUCAAAGCAGCCUAGAAAAUCACAAUGGAACACAAUUCGAUCCCGGGGAGCCCAGGCCCUAAUGGCUACAUCUACAUCACGGCUCUUAAUCUAUGGCUCAAGGAAUAUUGUGGAAGAGGAGCAGGAGAAAUUUUAAGAGCCAGAACACUAGGAAAGUUUCCUCAGAUCAGUAUUUUCUAGAAAUGGAUGUAUGAACCAGACGUGAAACAUGGCACUACCAAUGGUAACAAAAUGCUCACAGCCAACCGUUGGACUGAGCGCGGGGACCCCAAUGGAGGAGUUAGGUAAAGGAC
Molecule: long non-coding RNA, 3233 nt
Organism: Mus musculus (house mouse)
Lineage: Eukaryota; Metazoa; Chordata; Mammalia; Rodentia; Muridae
Product: predicted gene, 36774
Exons: 5
Source: RefSeq, a predicted model, not a curated record